Callithrix jacchus (white-tufted-ear marmoset) is the source of this 671-nucleotide long non-coding RNA. RefSeq lists it as uncharacterized. The record is from RefSeq and is a predicted model, not a curated record. Lineage: Eukaryota; Metazoa; Chordata; Mammalia; Primates; Cebidae.
UGGGAAGUUCUUUGUCUUGGGGGCACUCCCUGACCUCACACUAUGCAUCUACUCUUUUGGCUAAUUCCGACUUAUAAACUUUUGCUCUAAUAAAACUGUAAUCUGGGGGGGAAAAAAGCUAAACAUGAAAGAAUAAAUCCUCUAUAAUUUUAUUUGAAUAAAGUUCCAGAACAGACAAAAGUAAUCUGGAGUGAUAGAAAUCAGAUCAGUUGUUGCUUGAGUUAGGAGAAGCAGGGAAGCAGAUGGGUGCAGUCAGACAUAUUAUCUGCAAACAGCAGGAAGUACUUUCAAGGGAGAUGGGUGAUACUCCAAAAAACUCCUAACGUCUGAGUCCUGAUCACCAGAAGUGCUUGGUUUGAUUACAGACCAUGUAGAUGGCAAGACAUUCCCACCACUGCAAGUUGCUGGCUCCUUUUGUACCACUCUCCAGAGCCAUCUCAUCACAAACUUGGCAGCACUGAACUUAUCAGAUGAAACAUCCACAAGAAUCCUUGCCAGACUACCACUGUAAGGUCUUCAUCAGCUACUUUCCAAGGGAAACCAAUUCUCUGGAAGAUAUUGGCUUCCCUUUACCUUCCACCCAGAGGGGAAGCAGCCUAAGGCUCCCACCAGAGGCAGAUGAGACUUCCAGGUAUCAGAGCCAUGAACCUUCAGACAUCAGAAUUGUGAGG